AACGAACGCUGGCGGCAUGCCUAACACAUGCAAGUCGAACGAGAUCUUCGGGUCUAGUGGCGCACGGGUGCGUAACGCGUGGGAAUCUGCCCUUUGGUUCGGAAUAACAGUUGGAAACGACUGCUAAUACCGGAUGAUGACGAAAGUCCAAAGAUUUAUCGCCAGAGGAUGAGCCCGCGUAGGAUUAGCUAGUUGGUGUGGUAAAGGCGCACCAAGGCGCCGAUCCUUAGCUGGUCUGAGGGGAUGAUCAGCAACACUGGGACUGAGACACGGCCCAGACGCCUACGGGAGGCAGCAGUGGGUAAUAUUGGACAAUGGGAGAAAGCCUGAUCCAGCAAUGCCGCGUGAGUGAUGAAGGCCUUAGGGUUGUAAAGCUCUUUUACCCGGGAUGAUAAUGACAGUACCGGGAGAAUAAGCUCCGGCUAACUCCGUGCCAGCCGCCGCGGUAA
This 449-nucleotide ribosomal RNA is filed under the name uncultured bacterium. RNAcentral's name for it is "partial 16S ribosomal RNA". It matches the Rfam family "Bacterial small subunit ribosomal RNA", at positions 29 to 523 of the family's 1533-position model. The record is from RNAcentral.